This 61-nucleotide non-coding RNA is filed under the name unclassified sequences. RNAcentral describes it as "RAGATH-18 RNA". It matches the Rfam family "RAGATH-18 RNA". Rfam says of the family: Actinobacteria, Firmicutes, Fusobacteria, Thermotogae (1 example). Nearby to self-cleaving ribozyme genes The record is from Rfam by way of RNAcentral.
GCUGUGGAGAGCCAAACAAACUGUAGUAGCCAAGGCGAGGCAGGGCUCGUUGAAGCAGUUA